GGCUUAGAGUUUGAUCAUGGCUCAGGAUGAACGCUAGCUACAGGCUUAACACAUGCAAGUCGAGGGGCAGCAUGGUCUUAGCUUGCUAAGGCCGAUGGCGACCGGCGCACGGGUGAGUAACACGUAUCCAACCUGCCGUCUACUCUUGGACAGCCUUCUGAAAGGAAGAUUAAUACAAGAUGGCAUCAUGAGUCCGCAUGUUCACAUGAUUAAAGGUAUUCCGGUAGACGAUGGGGAUGCGUUCCAUUAGAUAGUAGGCGGGGUAACGGCCCACCUAGUCUUCGAUGGAUAGGGGUUCUGAGAGGAAGGUCCCCCACAUUGGAACUGAGACACGGUCCAAACUCCUACGGGAGGCAGCAGUGAGGAAUAUUGGUCAAUGGACGAGAGUCUGAACCAGCCAAGUAGCGUGAAGGAUGACUGCCCUAUGGGUUGUAAACUUCUUUUAUACGGGAAUAAAGUGAGGCACGUGUGCCUUUUUGUAUGUACCGUAUGAAUAAGGAUCGGCUAACUCCGUGCCAGCAGCCGCGGUAAUACGGAGGAUCCGAGCGUUAUCCGGAUUUAUUGGGUUUAAAGGGAGCGUAGGCGGACGCUUAAGUCAGUUGUGAAAGUUUGCGGCUCAACCGUAAAAUUGCAGUUGAUACUGGGUGUCUUGAGUACAGUAGAGGCAGGCGGAAUUCGUGGUGUAGCGGUGAAAUGCUUAGAUAUCACGAAGAACUCCGAUUGCGAAGGCAGCUUGCUGGACUGUAACUGACGCUGAUGCUCGAAAGUGUGGGUAUCAAACAGGAUUAGAUACCCUGGUAGUCCACACAGUAAACGAUGAAUACUCGCUGUUUGCGAUAUACAGUAAGCGGCCAAGCGAAAGCGUUAAGUAUU
Molecule: ribosomal RNA, 873 nt
Filed under: uncultured organism
Description: bacterial SSU rRNA
Rfam family: Bacterial small subunit ribosomal RNA
Source: RNAcentral